Molecule: long non-coding RNA, 470 nt
Organism: Passer domesticus (house sparrow)
Lineage: Eukaryota; Metazoa; Chordata; Aves; Passeriformes; Passeridae
Exons: 6
Source: RefSeq, a predicted model, not a curated record
CCGGAGGAAGCAGUGGAUCCGUGCCAGCCUCUGCUGCAGGAAGAGAGGCGAUGCCAGGCACAGUCCCAGGAGCUGAGGUUGCUCGGAAGGCUUCUCCAUUAGCUUGACUGCAUAAAGUUUUGAAGCCCUUGGAGUCUCCUGCAGAUGUGUCUGCAGGGAGGACUUUUCCUGCUCCUUUGCUGAUUCCUAUACGCAAGCCUGGCUCCCAUGGCAGGGGUCCUCUGAGGGGGAAGAGCAAAGGCAAAAGACAGAGGAAACCCCACGAGCCAAACAACAUCCUGAAACAAAUCGUGACAGAACUGCACAAAGGGCAUGCUAACCCGGCUGGUGAAAAUGAUCUGGCUUCCGAACCCACAUUCAGGAUUGAGUCUCUGGGAGAUGAUGAGGUGAUGGACCAAAAGGCAGGGCUGAAGGAGGUGUUUCCCCAAGGAAGCAGUGGCUCAUUGGCAGCCCCAGCUGCAGGAAGGCAG